Pteropus alecto (black flying fox) is the source of this 1145-nucleotide long non-coding RNA. RefSeq lists it as uncharacterized. Lineage: Eukaryota; Metazoa; Chordata; Mammalia; Chiroptera; Pteropodidae. The record is from RefSeq and is a predicted model, not a curated record. The transcript has 2 exons.
GUGUAAGGGGGAGGGGCGGGGGUAUCGAGGAGGGGGAGGAGUCUGUCGGCUCCCCCUUCCCAACGCGCACCCCAGCCGCCUCGGCGAGGGGGGAGGGGGGAGGGGAAGCCUGCGAAAACAAACGUCUAACGGCCCCAACCGCCUGGUCGGGCUCCGUGUGGUGGUCACGGCCGGGACCGCGAGGAGCCCAGAGCCGCCGCCGCCCCGGGCAUCGCGCUGACAGGGGAGAGGGGCAACCGUCCGGAUCACGUAGCCCCGGGGGCCGCUCGCAGCCAGGCGGGGCUGCACGCGCGGGAGAACGCGGCAGCUGCAGGGAGGGCCGGGACUCCUGCUUCUGGGGACCGGUCAGGGAGUAAGGGCCUUGAGGUUUCUGGUUCUCCGCGGAUCCCGCGCCACCGCCAACGCCACCGCCACCGCCGCCGCCUCUGCCCGCUUCUCACUCCAAACGGCAACUAAUCCCCCACCGGCACCCAGCCCCCGGCACCGCCUCCCGGUGCUCGGGACCCGGCAGCUGCCGCAACGAGUAUUCCCAUUGGCUCCGCCGCUCUCCACCAGAAUGCGAGUGAUUGGUUCCAGGAUAGGAGUGAGAGGAGUGCCUACCAAUGAAAGUGUAGGUUUGGAAGAGAAUAUAUUUUGGAUCCGAAGAACAUAUUUUGGAUCUGAAAAAUUAAAAGCACUUAAAGAAGACUGAACUUUGUGUUGUACAGACUCCGCUAGACAAGAAGAAACCCACGUGAAUGCUGAGAGGCAAAUCAGUGAAGUGGCCUGAGUUUCUCUUUCUUCAGCUUUAAAAUCUGGUGACUAAACUGGUCAAGCAGAAGAUAUAAUAAACAUAGAUUGGAAUAAAUCUGCAUUUUCCAAGCCUGAUGAAUUUUAAAAACUGAAUUGACUAACUGCAAUCUUGAAGACAGAAGGGAAGUACCCAGUCAUGCCUCCUGAAGAAAGAGUAGUCUGAAAAUUAUGUUGUGUCUGAGGACACAUUACAAAGAGAUAGAGGCUCAAGAUCACCCAGAGGGCCACUGCCUCCACUCUGAGACUGUAAAGAAAGGGCUGGAAAAGGAAUAUUCUCCAUAUAAGUAUGAAUGCUAAAAUGUAAACAUUUUUUAAUUUCAAUCCAAAAAUAAAUAAAUGAAUUAAAAGCCAAA